This 554-nucleotide long non-coding RNA is filed under the name Pan troglodytes (chimpanzee). RNAcentral's name for it is "long non-coding RNA NONPTRT005554". The record is from RNAcentral. Lineage: Eukaryota; Metazoa; Chordata; Mammalia; Primates; Hominidae.
CUGGGCUGUCGUUGGGUGGAGGUCCUCAGAGCUGGGCUGUUACUGGAUAUAUGCCAUGUGAGCUGGAUGGCCUGUGAAAGAGAAAGGCAGUUGGUGAUAAAAAUAAUUGGAUGAUUCUUAAAGAAAUAGAAGAGACUUGCUGUUGGCAGUGAGAACCCACAGGAGGCCUCUAAGGAGAUGUAAGUAAGUGGGAUUCACAAGUUGAUGUGAGGCAGGCUGUGAGAAGUUGGUGAAGACGGUUUAUGGGUUUGACCUGCUUGGGGAACUUGCACACAUUGCUCAAACCCCCUGAGCAUCAUUUCUUCAUGGCAAUUGUGAAGAUGGGUUAGGUGGUGCAUGGUGAAAUACAGAGGGGAGCUCUUAGCUCUGAGGGACUUGAAUGUGCUGUGGUAUGACACAAAGGGCUGAGAUAGGGGUUUUAGGAGCCUGUGGUUCUCUAUAAAUAUGAAUGCAGCAUCAUCAGCUACAUCGGGUUCAUUAUCCUACCUCUUUGUUGGAUGUGCUUCCACCUCCACUCCCAGUGCACACCCAUCACACACACAGCCACGUUCAGU